AUACAGAGGUCCCAAGCGUUGUUCGGAUUCACUGGGCGUAAAGGGUGCGCAGGUGGGUUGGCAAGUUCGAUGUGAAAGCCCCGGGCUUAACCCGGGAAUGGCAUUGGAAACUGCUGAUCUGGAGGAUCGGAGGGGGGACUGGAAUUCUUGGUGUAGCAGUGAAAUGCGUAGAUAUCAAGAGGAACACCAGUGGCGAAGGCGAGUCCCUGGACGAUACCUGACACUGAGGCACGAAAGCCAAGGGAGCAAACG
Molecule: ribosomal RNA, 252 nt
Filed under: uncultured prokaryote
Description: partial 16S ribosomal RNA
Rfam family: Bacterial small subunit ribosomal RNA
Source: RNAcentral